GUCUCUGUAGCGCAAUGGGUAGCGCGUUGGACUUCUAAUCCAAAGGUCGUGGGUUCGAAUCCUAAAUGGGAUG
Molecule: non-coding RNA, 73 nt
Organism: Trichonephila inaurata madagascariensis
Lineage: Eukaryota; Metazoa; Arthropoda; Arachnida; Araneae; Nephilidae
Source: the annotation of a GenBank genome assembly